RNAcentral lists this long non-coding RNA (935 nucleotides) under Manihot esculenta (cassava). RNAcentral's name for it is "long non-coding RNA (MESC_LNC004704)". Lineage: Eukaryota; Viridiplantae; Streptophyta; Magnoliopsida; Malpighiales; Euphorbiaceae. The record is from RNAcentral.
UCCGCAAGGUGGAAAUCAAUAUACCUCUACUUGAUGCUAUCAAACAAAUACCAAGGUAUGCUAAAUUUCUCAAAGAGCUAUGCACCAAUAGGAGGAAACUUGCUGAACAUGAAAAGGUAAGUGUGGGGGAGUGUGUUUCAGCUGUCAUUCAAAAGAAGCUUCCAACCAAAUAUAAGGAUAGAGGAAUGUUUGCCAUUUCAUGCAAAAUAGGCAACAUAGGGAUAAAGAAGGCCAUGUGCGACCUUGGGGCAUCAAUCAAUGUUAUGCCACUUUCUAUUUUUAACUUGUUGAAUACAGGUACACUCAAGGGCACCAGCAUUGUGAUCCAAUUGGCUGACUGAUCCAAUUGGCUGACCGAUCCGUUGUCUACCCCAAGGGAGUGCUAGAAGAUGUGUUGGUACAAGUUGACCAACUAGUCUUCCCAGCAGAUUUUUAUGUGAUUGACAUGGAGGAGGAUAAGGGCAACAUCACCUCUGACAUCUUACUUGGGAGACCAUUCUUGAGCACAGCAAGAACAAAAAUUGAUGUGCAUGAUGGCACAUUAACCAUGGAGUUUGAAGGGGAAGUUAUCAAGUUUAAUGUUUAUGAUGCCAUGAAAUUCCCCAAUGAUGUUUCUCCUGUUUAUGGACUUGAUAUAAUUGAUGAUUCAAGUCAAGAAAUUUUUAAUUUUGAUCAAGAAAAUUUACUUUAUGAUGGUCUUUGCAGGAAAGGAGAAGUGGACAGCAACAUCACUGAAGCAGAAAAAACAGCAGACUGCUGUAACUUGCUGGGUGUGGGUGAUUUGCCCAGUGAUUUGCCCAGAUCACCAGAUAAUCUGCUCAAAUCACAGACCAAAUCACUGGAGCAGACAGACUUGACAGACAGUGAUUUGCCCAGAUCACCAGAUAAUCUGCCCAAAUCACAGCCCAAAUCAGACAGCAAACAGCAGAAAUCAG